RNAcentral lists this ribosomal RNA (96 nucleotides) under Triticum aestivum (bread wheat). RNAcentral describes it as "partial small subunit ribosomal RNA". The record is from RNAcentral. Lineage: Eukaryota; Viridiplantae; Streptophyta; Magnoliopsida; Poales; Poaceae.
AUGGUAAGGAGGAGACAAAUCAAGAUGGUGAGGUCCGCCUUCCAGACGAGAUAUGUGUGUCGUCAACUGGGAAGGACACUGACCUUGAUACACUGA